Non-coding RNA from Heterocephalus glaber (naked mole-rat), 2863 nucleotides. Lineage: Eukaryota; Metazoa; Chordata; Mammalia; Rodentia; Bathyergidae. The record is from RefSeq and is a predicted model, not a curated record.
GAAAGCUGUUUGCAUCUGUUUUAUGGAUUCCAUUUGUUUCCUAUGUUGGGAUUCCAUCAUGUUCCUCAGCUUCUCUCUAGAUUUAUUAGUCAUGUCUUGCACUACAGGCACAAUCUCUGCUGUUAUUGGAGUCACUUUUCUAGAUAAACCAGCCUCACUUGAACUGUCUGAAGAAAAAUACUACCACAAAGAAGAAAGCUACUCCUGUGAACACCUGGAAGACCUGAGGUUCCUCUUCAAAAAAACUCUAGUAAUGCUCUAGGUACAGAUAAAUAAACAGGCACCUGUAUUGAGAUUCCUGUUUUUAAUUAGAUCCAUAAUGUAUAUAAUCUUGCUAAUACUAUGGCUCUCAGGCUUCCUAUAAUUUAUCUAACGUCCCUCUUUGCCUUACUUUCUCCUCCUCAGGAGCAUGGAAUUCUGAUAUGCUUCUUAUAUUUAGGCUCUACAUCCCCAACCUAAUAGUAAUGUUACUCUCCUGACAAAUUCAUCAAGCUUUCUCCCAUCAAACAGUGGCUCAUAUGAACAAAAAAUCUUUUUUCACUGUCUUUUGACAGAUUUUUUUUUUUUUUUUUUUUUGGUACUGGGGAUUGAACUCGGGUCUUUGCGCUUGCGUAGCAGGCGGUGAAACAACUGAGCUAAAUCCCCGGCCCAACAGAUUCUUUUUUCUUCAACCCAGCCAAUGAGGACAAUAACCCAAGGUAGGUGGAGAGCAAAUAAUCCCUCGGAGAUAGGAUCUGUAGCCCCUUUGAGGAGGAAGUAGCUAUAUAAAGAUGGAGACCUCUACUCAACAACUCAUAAAGAAUUAUGGGAAUAUGUGUCUUUCAGGGGGAAAUGAGGCAGGUGACUAGGGAAUGACAAAGCUGACUGGACAAGUAGGCAUAACCUGUUAAUUACAAAAUCCCAAGCACAGGACAGUUUCCAAAGCCCUUCAAGUGAAUGUCCCAUGAGAACUCAAUCAGAUUUUCAAAUGGAUGGCCUAAACCUGAUGCCAUCCUGAGAAGGGGCAAAUACAGAACGACAGUUGACAUUGAAUUUUUUGUUACUGUGUUCUUUCAUGAUAACCUACUCUCAUCCUGUAGAGUGUAUUUAUUUUCCUAUUUUCAUUGGCCCAAUUUCACUCUGCAGAACUUGGCUCUUUUCCCCCUACCUGUAAUAAAUGUAAAAAAAAACCCAUAAUGAACAACUGAAACUCACACUCAGCCCAAGGGUUAGACUAGUAUCAAUAAAUUGUGUCUCCCUAUGUGUUGUUCUCAUGGUCUGAGCGCCCCUUUUGAAUUUUGUAUGUAGCAUUCAUUUUGUUUUUUAAAUCUUAUUUAUAGUGUAAUCAUAUGUAUAUGUAAUAUACCGUUUGGUUUUACUUCCUCACAAUAAUAUGUUACUAAGAUAUAUACAUUUUGUUACAUAUAGCUGGUAUUCAUUUUUCAUUCUUGGAUAAUAUUCAUUUGAGCACACUACAAAUUUUUUAGCCCAUCCUAUCAAUGUAUAUUUAGGUUGUUUUCCUGUUGUUCCUGUGUGCUGUUGUGAAUAACAUUCUUCUAUGUCUUUUUUAUAGGAGUUUCUCUUGGUUAUAUGCUAAUGUACAGAUUGCUAAAUGGUGAUUACUGGCCACUGAGCAAUAACCUGAAUUGAACCAUCUACUUCUCUUGUAAGCAAUAUGGUUCCUCCCACUGUAUGUAUAGACACUGAUUUUAGUUACGGCUGGUUUUUAUUAAGUGAUGUCAAUUAGGCUGACAUGAUUAUCACUUAGUAAGCCCCUAUGGUCACAUUCAUUGGAGAUAAGCUUCUAACAUGUUACUUAGAAUAUUGUUCUAGAAAUUCUGUAAGUAAUUACAUUUUCAAAAUGCUGCUGGCUAAAAAACCUCUCCCCUACUCCCCCCCCCCCCAUACUGGAGAUUGAGUCCAGGGCCUUCAAACUGAGCUACAUCUUUGUCCAGCUCAUUUUUUGUUUCAAGACAGGAUUUCACUAAGUUGCCUAGGCUGCCCUUGAACUUGUGAUCUUGCCUCAGCCUUCCAGAGUGCUGGGAUUACAGGCAUGUACCACUGUACCCAUUCUAUCUUUUUUUUUUUUGUAUGAAGCUUAGAAAGUUUCUGAAAUUUUAGAAAGGUAAAUUAUACUUUAGCCUCACCUAGCCUUCUAUUUUAUGUCCAGGUGUUACGAUUUGUAUCUAGAUGUGCCCCCAGAGCCUCAUGUAGCCAAAGGUGGGAGUUUUGGAAGGUGAUUGGAUCAUUGGAACCAUGAUACUCAUCAAUGGAUUAGUUUACUGAUAAGUUUAUAGUUAAAUGUGAUGUUGGGAGGUAAAGCUUUGUCAAAGGCAGUGACGCUCUGGGGGUGUGGCCUGGAAAGGUAUAGUUCCCUCCCUCCUUUCUCUCUGCUUCCUGCCUGACAUCCCUGAGAUAGGAGAUUAGGGAUAGGGCAGAACCUGUCAAAGAGGAGUAAUCUUUCAGUCGUGAAGAUCCAGGGCACAUGCACAGAACCUAGGAUCCAAAAUGACUGCAGUUCCUGAGCACUGUACUUGGAACCAAUCAGAAAAUGCUAUUUUCAAGUGAGUCUUCGAUAAGACAGUUUAAAUAUGAUGCCAGGCCAAGUGAGGUUUUGAUAGGACAGCUGUCUCAAUGCCUUUUUUUUUUUUGGUACCAGGGAUCGAACUCAGGAACUUGUGCUUGCUCGGCAGGCGCCUGAACCACUGAGCUAAAUCCUCGGCCCCUCAAUGCCUUAUUUACAUGAGAAAGAAGCCAAUCUAGAAUACAAAAAAAAAAAAACUCCUUUCAUUAUCCUCCUGGCCAAGGUAAUGAAUGAACACAUUGCCCUACACUCACUCUGCAUAGUGUACUUUCCACUUUCAAUAAAUGUACAUUCCCACUA